RNAcentral lists this ribosomal RNA (496 nucleotides) under uncultured bacterium. RNAcentral describes it as "partial 16S ribosomal RNA". It matches the Rfam family "Bacterial small subunit ribosomal RNA", at positions 29 to 523 of the family's 1533-position model. The record is from RNAcentral.
AUCGAACGCUGGCGGCAUGCCUUACACAUGCAAGUCGAACGGUAGAGGGGCAACCCUCGAGAGUGGCGAACGGGUGAGUAAUGCAUCGGAACGUGCCCAGUCGUGGGGGAUAACGUAGCGAAAGCUACGCUAAUACCGCAUACGACCUGAGGGUGAAAGCGGGGGACCUGCAAGGGCCUCGCGCGAUUGGAGCGGCCGAUGUCAGAUUAGGUAGUUGGUGGGGUAAAGGCCUACCAAGCCGACGAUCUGUAGCUGGUCUGAGAGGACGACCAGCCACACUGGGACUGAGACACGGCCCAGACUCCGACGGGAGGCAGCAGUGGGGAAUUUUGGACAAUGGGCGCAAGCCUGAUCCAGCCAUGCCGCGUGCGGGAAGAAGGCCUUCGGGUUGUAAACCGCUUUUGUCAGGGAAGAAAUCUUCUGGGUUAAUACCUCGGGGGGAUGACGGUACCUGAAGAAUAAGCACCGGCUAACUACGUGCCAGCCGCCGCAGUAA